Molecule: ribosomal RNA, 480 nt
Filed under: Treponema denticola
Lineage: Bacteria; Pseudomonadati; Spirochaetota; Spirochaetia; Treponematales; Treponemataceae
Description: bacterial SSU rRNA
Rfam family: Bacterial small subunit ribosomal RNA
Source: RNAcentral
AACGAACGCUGCGGCGCGUCUUAAGCAUGCAAGUCGAACGGUAAGGGAGAGCUUGCUCUCCCCUAGAGUGGCGGACUGGUGAGUAACGCGUGGGUGACCUGCCUUGAAGAUGGGGAUAGCUAGUAGAAAUAUUAGAUAAUACCGAAUGUGCCCAUUUACAUAAAGGUAAAUGAGGAAAGGAGCUACGGCUCCGCUUCAGGAUGGGCCCGCGUCCCAUUAGCUGGUUGGUGAGGUAAAGGCUCACCAAGGCAACGAUGGGUAUCCGGCCUGAGAGGGUGAACGGACACAUUGGGACUGAGAUACGGCCCAAACUCCUACGGGAGGCAGCAGCUAAGAAUCUUCCGCAAUGGACGAAAGUCUGACGGAGCGACGCCGUGUGAAUGAAGAAGGCCGAAAGGUUGUAAAAUUCUUUUGCAGAUGAAGAAUAAUCAUAGGAGGGAAUGCCUGUGAGAUGACGGUAUCAUGCGAAUAAGCCCGGGC